Molecule: ribosomal RNA, 597 nt
Filed under: Lophyraspis sp. NYSM 95-05-12-96
Lineage: Eukaryota; Metazoa; Arthropoda; Insecta; Hemiptera; Aetalionidae
Description: eukaryotic LSU rRNA
Rfam family: Eukaryotic large subunit ribosomal RNA
Source: RNAcentral
GGAUGGCGCUGUAGCGUCGUGCUUAUACUCGGCCGUCAACGGCAAAGUGGGCGGCCGCCUCGCGGCGGCCGGGCCGUUACGCCUUGACGAGUAGGAGGGUCGCGGCGGUGGCACUGAAGGGUCUCGGCGUGAGCCGGCCUGGAGCCGCCGUCGGCGCAGAUCUUGGUGGUAGUAGCAAAUACUCAAGCGAGGACCUUGAGGACUGACGUGGAGAAGGGUUUCUUGUGAACAGCUGUUGCACAAGAGUCAGUCGAUCCUAAGCCCUAGGAGAGAUCCCAUGUGGAUGGGGCGAAAGGGAAUCCGGUUCCUAUUCCGGAACCCGGUAGCGGAACCGUCCAAAACGGGCCCUCAUCAGUGCUCGUCGGGGCAACCCAAAGAGACCCGGAGACGCCGUCGGGAAGACCGGAGAGAGUUUUCUUUUCUCUGUAAGCGUUCGAGUUCCAUGGAAUCCUCUAGCAGGGAGAUAUGGUUUGGAACGCGAAGAGCACCGCAGUUGCGGCGGUGUCCGGUCUUCCCCUCGGACCUUGAAAAUCCGGGCGAGGGCCACGUGGAACGUCCGCACCGGACCGUACCCAUAUCCGCAGCAGGUCUCCAAGG